This 24-nucleotide non-coding RNA is filed under the name Arabidopsis thaliana (thale cress). Lineage: Eukaryota; Viridiplantae; Streptophyta; Magnoliopsida; Brassicales; Brassicaceae. The record is from RNAcentral.
AGGAUGUGCUUUGUUCUAUCGCCU